GAUCCUGGCUCAGGAUGAACGCUAGCGGCAGGCUUAACACAUGCAAGUCGAGGGGCAGCGAGAGAGUAGCAAUACUUUGUCGGCGACCGGCGCACGGGUGCGUAACGCGUAUCCAACCUUCCCGAUACUCAGGGAUAGCCUUCCGAAAGGGAGAUUAAUACAAGAUGGUAUUCAAAUUCCGCAUGUUAUUUGAAUUAAAGAUUUAUCGGUAACGGAUGGGGAUGCGUGACAUUAGGUAGAUGGCGGGGUAACGGCCCACCAUGCCUACGAUGUCUAGGGGUUCUGAGAGGAAGGUCCCCCACACUGGAACUGAGACACGGUCCAGACUCCUACGGGAGGCAGCAGUGAGGAAUAUUGGUCAAUGGACGCAAGUCUGAACCAGCCAAGUAGCGUGAAGGAUGACUGCCCUAUGGGUUGUAAACUUCUUUUAUACGGGAAUAAAAGACAUUACGUGUAGUGUUUUGCAUGUACCGUUAUGAAUAAGCAUCGGCUAAUUCCGUG
Molecule: ribosomal RNA, 501 nt
Filed under: uncultured bacterium
Lineage: Bacteria
Description: bacterial SSU rRNA
Rfam family: Bacterial small subunit ribosomal RNA
Source: RNAcentral